GAUGAACGCUGGCGGCGUGCCUAACACAUGCAAGUCGAACGGAGUUUAUUUAUUUGAGGCCUUCGGGCGGAUUAUUUAUAUACUUAGUGGCGGACGGGUGAGUAACGCGUGGGUAACCUGCCGUAUGCAGGGGGACAACAGUUGGAAACGACUGCUAAUACCGCAUAUGCGCACAGUACCGCAUGGUAGAGUGUGGAAAGAUUUAUCGGCAUACGAUGGACCCGCGUUUGAUUAGAUAGUUGGUGAGGUAACGGCUCACCAAGUCGACGAUCAAUAGCCGGCCUGAGAGGGCAAUCGGCCACAUUGGGACUGAGACACGGCCCAAACUCC
This 330-nucleotide ribosomal RNA is filed under the name uncultured Lachnospiraceae bacterium. Its description in RNAcentral is "bacterial SSU rRNA". It matches the Rfam family "Bacterial small subunit ribosomal RNA", at positions 28 to 339 of the family's 1533-position model. Lineage: Bacteria; Bacillati; Bacillota; Clostridia; Lachnospirales; Lachnospiraceae. The record is from RNAcentral.